Phrynosoma platyrhinos (Desert horned lizard) is the source of this 72-nucleotide non-coding RNA. Lineage: Eukaryota; Metazoa; Chordata; Lepidosauria; Squamata; Phrynosomatidae. The record is from the annotation of a GenBank genome assembly.
GCCAGGGUGGCAUAUUGGGUUGAUUGUUGGACUAGGACAACUAAGACCAGGGUUCAAAUCCCAGCUUGGGCA